RNAcentral lists this ribosomal RNA (484 nucleotides) under uncultured bacterium. RNAcentral's name for it is "partial 16S ribosomal RNA". It matches the Rfam family "Bacterial small subunit ribosomal RNA", at positions 30 to 507 of the family's 1533-position model. The record is from RNAcentral.
AUUGAACGCUGGCGGAAUGCUUUACACAUGCAAGUCGAACGGCAGCACGGGGGCAGCCCUGGUGGCGAGUGGCGAACGGGUGAGUAAUACAUCGGAACGUGCCCGGUCGUGGGGGAUAACGUAGCGAAAGUUACGCUAAUACCGCAUACGAUCUGAGGAUGAAAGCGGGGGACCUUCGGGCCUCGCGCGAUCGGAGCGGCCGAUGUCAGAUUAGGUAGUUGGUGGGGUAAAGGCCUACCAAGCCGACGAUCUGUAGCUGGUCUGAGAGGACGACCAGCCACACUGGGACUGAGACACGGCCCAGACUCCUACGGGAGGCAGCAGUGGGGAAUUUUGGACAAUGGGCGCAAGCCUGAUCCAGCCAUUCCGCGUGCAGGACGAAGGCCUUCGGGUUGUAAACUGCUUUUGUACGGAACGAAAAGGCUCCGGCUAAUACCUGGGGCUCAUGACGGUACCGUAAGAAUAAGCACCGGCUAACUACGUG